AUGGGGGGACCAUCCUCCAAGGCUAAAUACUCCUGACUGACCGAUAGUGAACCAGUACCGUGAGGGAAAGGCGAAAAGAACCCCGGCGAGGGGAGUGAAAAAGAACCUGAAACCGUGUACGUACAAGCAGUGGGAGCCCCACCACUAAGCCAGUGGUGAACUCCACAUCCGCAUCCUUUGCUGAGGAUACGGUUAACGGAGCGAAAGCGACGUUCAACCGCAAAACAAGCAGAGGGGGCUUAGUGGUGGGGUGACUGCGUACCUUUUGUAUAAUGGGUCAGCGACUUAUAUUCUGUAGCAAGGUUAACCGAAUAGGGGAGCCGGAGGGAAACCGAGUCUUAAUUGGGCGUUAAGUUGCAGGGUAUAGACCCGAAACCCGGUGAUCUAGCCAUGGGCAGGUUGAAGGUUGGGUAACACUAACUGGAGGACCGAACCGACUAAUGUUGAAAAAUUAGCGGAUGACCUGUGGCUGGGGGUGAAAGGCCAAUCAAACCGGGAGAUAGCUGGUUCUCCCCGAAAGCUAUUUAGGUAGCGCCUCGUGAAUUCAUCUCCGGGGGUAGAGCACUGUUUCGGCUAGGGGGCCAUCCCGGCUUACCAACCCGAUGCAAACUGCGAAUACCGGAGAAUGUUAUCACGGGAGACACACGGCGGGUGCUAACGUCCGUCGUGAAGAGGGAAACAACCCAGACCGCCAGCUAAGGUCCCAAAGUCAUGGUUAAGUGGGAAACGAUGUGGGAAGGCCCAGACAGCCAGGAUGUUGGCUUAGAAGCAGCCAUCAUUUAAAGAAAGCGUAAUAGCUCACUGGUCGAGUCGGCCUGCGCGGAAGAUGUAACGGGGCUAAACCAUGCACCGAAGCUGCGGCAGCGAACGUAUCACCCAAGACAACUUUACGGAGUUGACGAUUGACGGAGCGAAGCGACGUCAAAGCGUUCAUUAAAGUCGAGUUGGCUUAGGGAUACGUUCGUUGGGUAGGGGAGCGUUCUGUAAGCCUGUGAAGGUGUGUCGUGAGGCAUGCUGGAGGUAUCAGAAGUGCGAAUGCUGACAUAAGUAACGAUAAAGCGGGUGAAAAGCCCGCUCGCCGGAAGACCAAGGGUUCCUGUCCAACGUUAAUCGGGGCAGGGUGAGUCGACCCCUAAGGCGAGGCCGAAAGGCGUAGUCGAUGGGAAACGGGUUAAUAUUCCCGUACUUGGUGUUACUGCGAAGGGGGGACGGAGAAGGCUAUGUUGGCCGGGCGACGGUUGUCCCGGUUUAAGCGUGUAGGUGUGUGUUCCAGGUAAAUCCGGUUCACUUUAACACUGAGGCGUGACGACGAGGCACUACGGUGCUGAAGCAACAAAUGCCCUGCUUCCAGGAAAAGCCUCUAAGCAUCAGGUAACAC
This 1378-nucleotide ribosomal RNA is filed under the name Salmonella enterica subsp. enterica serovar Typhimurium. RNAcentral's name for it is "partial 23S ribosomal RNA". It matches the Rfam family "Bacterial large subunit ribosomal RNA", at positions 444 to 1637 of the family's 2925-position model. The record is from RNAcentral. Lineage: Bacteria; Pseudomonadati; Pseudomonadota; Gammaproteobacteria; Enterobacterales; Enterobacteriaceae.